CAUAUUUCAACUGUCAUUUCAGCUGGUAGACCCUGAGGACAUGUUAUGUCAAUAGCAUCAUACACAGAGACUCCUGACGACCAAAAAUAUAUUUUAUGGAAAGGCUGAACAUCAAUAAGAAUUUGCUAAUAAGAACUAAUCACUGCUGCUUCUAAAAAAACAGACCGACAACACAGAAGCCCAUCAGGACAUUCAUCCCCAUCCCUACAGUCUGAGUUUAUUGUCAAUCAAAUUGGCUGCCGGCUCUGAAGAUAGCAGCUUAAAUGUGUAAUUAAUGAGUGGACAAAAUGAUGAGUUGAAGGGCCAACUGAUUGACAGUUAUCUCUGUGCUAAGUUGAGAGCAGCAGUGUAUGCAUUUGCAAUGCAAAUGCAAGGAAUCCACUGGAGGCCUUGUGUGAUGAAAGCAAUUGAAAAUGAUUAUGGGGGGGAGAGACAUAUAGCCAAACCAGAGGAAGAGGAUGGUGACCCAUCUGCACCCAUGAUGAUGCUCAAGAAGGUAAACUGCACAGCCAUAGUGCAACUCUUUUAAAAAACAGAGUCUUGCCCUCAACUAAUCUUUGUGCAUUCAAGAAAUGAUGAACCUAAGCAAAUGUUUGGCAUCUGUUAUGUAAAAAUUGCCCUGCCUUUUUGACAGAGCCACCAAAUUAGCCCAUAUUCUGAAAGCCCUCAGGACUAGUUCAGACAUGCAUCAUCCUUACUUCCUGACCAUGUAGCAUCAAGUGAUUAAUUGUAUGUGUAAAUUAUCCAUCAUAGAUUAUCUUAGAGAGAGCCUUCUUCGGCAUGAUCCUCACCGCACGUUAAGGUCAUCCGAGGAGGUCCAUCUCCAGUUUCCACCGGCUUGUCUGGUGGUGACUCAGAGGCGGGCCUUCUCUGUAGCUGCUCCUGGGCUGUGGAAUGCACUCCUGGCAGAAAUCUAUAAUUCGAGAUCAUUACUGUUUUUCAGGAGAGCCCUUAAAACCUGUCUGUUUGGCCUGGCCUUCCAGGGUUUUUUAACUACUGUAACUUGUUUUAAAUGGUUGCCCUGGUUUUCCAGGGUUUUUAGCUGUUUGCAUGUUUAAUUGGUUUUAUUCUACUUUUAUAGUUUUGAUUUUCAUUGUUAACUGGUUUUAAUUUAUUUUUAUUCUGUUGUAAACCACCCUGAGCCAUUUUGGAAGGGCGGUAUGUAAAUCAAAUAAAUAAAUAAAUAGAUUAAUCCUGC
Molecule: long non-coding RNA, 1198 nt
Organism: Hemicordylus capensis (graceful crag lizard)
Lineage: Eukaryota; Metazoa; Chordata; Lepidosauria; Squamata; Cordylidae
Exons: 2
Source: RefSeq, a predicted model, not a curated record